CGGGGUGUAGCUCAGCUUGGCAGAGCGCGGCGUUUGGGUCGCCGAGGCCGCAGGUUCAAAUCCUGUCACCCCGA
Molecule: transfer RNA, 74 nt
Filed under: Planctomycetota bacterium
Lineage: Bacteria; Pseudomonadati; Planctomycetota
Also listed under: 1 other name
Description: tRNA-Pro
Rfam family: tRNA
About the family: Transfer RNA (tRNA) molecules are approximately 80 nucleotides in length. Their secondary structure includes four short double-helical elements and three loops (D, anti-codon, and T loops).
Source: RNAcentral